AGCGAUCGGGGGCAAAUUGUCUGGUCGCAGGUGUGUGUGGGGAGAGUGUGGGGUGCCAGGAAGGUGGAGGGGAGUUUUCUACAGUGUUAUCAAAUACAGAAAAUAUCAAAGCCAAAGCAUUGUCACGACGGAAUUCCGAGGGGGUUAUUUUGGGCAUCAAGUAUUGUUUUGUUUUGUUUUUUCGACAUCCAAAAACUGUGGGAUUGAACUUGACACCAAGGUUUCUUCUGUUCCAGUAACUGCUUUGGAUUAAAUCAAAGAUGCAGGUUUCAGCCACCACCAAGUUCCCUAAACCUCAUCCACACAGAUUAGCCUUAUAUUCAAGUCAAAUUACUUCUAUUCCUCCAAUUGAACAGCCUGCACUUCUGUCUAGUUUCCUCAACAGCCGUUGUCUUUCUAAUCAUCUUUACACAAUGUUUUGAGCAAGGGCCACUUUUCUCUAAACUUACACUCUGAUUUGGAAACCCAUGAAUCUGUGAAUUCAGGGAAGAGACUUGAAUAAUGCUAAGCUCAAACUGUUGUCUUUACCUUCUUGCUGAAACAGUGUCAUCAGCCCUCAAACAUGUGGAGACUUACCUAAAACAGAGACUUUCUUCAGACCUGCUGGAACUCUGACCUCUCGACUUUGACCUGGAGCAGUCACCAUGCCCUAUACAAAAAUCCCCAGAUCACCCUGUGAUGAUGAUGAUGAUGAUGAUGAUGAUACUGUUCUCUCCCAUUCUUAUAUAAUGUCCUUAUGUUGUGUUUUAUAUCAUUGUUUUCAUGUCAUAUAAAUGGAGAUCAUAAUAGUCCAAGAGUAAAUGCUGACACAGGAUCAGCUCCUCCAUCGUCUAUAUGCAGUAACAUUGGGAAAUGAAAGCAUAAAAAAUUGAUCCCAGUUAGCACAAUGUUUUGAUUUCUAUACCUACGACGUCAGACGUUUGCGCCUCUGUAGGACGUGCUGAAAGGCACUGAUACAGAUGAAAUACCCUAGAAAUACUUUUCAGUUAAAAAAAAAAAAGAGGAAAGGUAAACUGUCACCGUGUUAAACCGUGUGUAGUGUGGAUUAUGUCUGUGAAAUGUGUGAAAGGUCGAAAGAGUUCAAAAUAAAAAUAAAAAAAUAAAAAAACCACGAGAAGUAUAUCAUAACUAAUGCUUUAGACAUUAAUGCUGAUCCACUACAGGAAGAACAGGAACAAGUGCAAACAAGCGAAGGCUUACUGUCAAACCGACUGUGUUUUUGAUGUCUAAUAUGCCAGCAGAAGUCUGUUCAGAGAGUGGUGCUGGGAAACCUAUGCCAUAUGUCACCAUGGUCUUGGGAAACCCCAUCGUCCUGCACAUUUUAUUACUUUCCCUGGUUCGAACAUAUCUGAUUCAACUAGCUAGCUGAGAAAGAGCUCUACGUUGACAUGGGAGAGCAGGAAAAGCAUAAAAUCGUGCAGGACAGGGCGUUCCUCAGGACCAGUGCUCGCCAGUUAACCAAGAAGCAGUGCCAUGCUGCCAUCUAGAGGCUCGGCAAUGAAAAGCCUUUGUUUCGACCAGCACUACUUCAGAACGCUCAAAAGUAGCCACCUGUUAGUCCCCAACCCAUAUGCAAGAUACACGGUAAGACAUUAAGCUACUGUUGAUCUCUCAUAUCAGAGGAACCGUUCCAUAACUGCAGAAUUAGAAACCAUUUGAUCAAAACACACGCGUGCGCAAUUCAAUAGAGAACACGUUCUAGCAGCUCAGAGGUAAGAGACAUGGAGAAAACCGGACCAUGAAACACAGUAGGUUUCCGAUACAUCAAGUCCUUAAGAACUAAUUUAUUUAGCUACCUUCAAAAUGUAAUGCUUAUUUCCUGUUGAGAUGUCUAUUCUAGCAACUAUUAAUAUAAAAUUCAGGAUUUAACCUUUUUGAUUCUAUUCAAGUCUUUGUCUUAUGUGGCUUGUCUUUAAAUGUCUAAGCUCAUAUUGGUUUUUCGUGUGGUCAAGUAGUGGUUCUGGAGGGAAAAAAAGCCACAUUCUCAAUGAAAAUGUCUUUGUAUUUACUGAAAUUUCAUUGUCAAAUUCUUUUCAUUAUUAUUAUUCUCUUGCUGUGUUAGCAUGUUCUUUGUUUAACCAGUGUUCAACAGACACCUGGAAAAGAAGGUUCUGACUGUAGUGCUUGUUUAAUAAACAGUUGCUGACUUU
This is a long non-coding RNA of Clarias gariepinus (North African catfish), 2150 nucleotides long. RefSeq lists it as uncharacterized. Lineage: Eukaryota; Metazoa; Chordata; Actinopteri; Siluriformes; Clariidae. The transcript has 2 exons. The record is from RefSeq and is a predicted model, not a curated record.